CAGUCGCCGCGGGAAUACGGAGGGUGCAAGCGUUAAUCGGAAUUACUGGGCGUAAAGCGCACGCAGGCGGUCUGACAAGUCAGAUGUGAAAUCCCCGGGCUUAACCUGGGAACUGCAUUUGAAACUGUCAGGCUGGAGUCUUGUAGAGGGGGGUAGAAUUCCAGGUGUAGCGGUGAAAUGCGUAGAGAUCUGGAGGAAUACCGAUGGCGAAGGCAGCCAUCUGGCCUAACACUGACGCUGAGGUACGAAAGCAUGGGGAGCAAACAGGAUUAGAUACCCCAGUAGUCCCUGUCUCUUAUAC
RNAcentral lists this ribosomal RNA (301 nucleotides) under uncultured bacterium. RNAcentral describes it as "partial 16S ribosomal RNA". It matches the Rfam family "Bacterial small subunit ribosomal RNA", at positions 509 to 807 of the family's 1533-position model. The record is from RNAcentral.